RNAcentral lists this ribosomal RNA (255 nucleotides) under uncultured bacterium. Its description in RNAcentral is "partial 16S ribosomal RNA". It matches the Rfam family "Bacterial small subunit ribosomal RNA", at positions 524 to 778 of the family's 1533-position model. The record is from RNAcentral.
UACGUAGGGGGCUAGCGUUGUCCGGAUUUAUUGGGCGUAAAGAGCGUGUAGGCGCCAGGUAGGUCUGGUGUGAAAACUCGAGGCUUAACCUCGAGAUGUCAUCGGAAACCAUCUGGCUAGAGUCCGGAAGAGGAGAGUGGAAUUCCUGGUGUAGCGGUGAAAUGCGCAGAUAUCAGGAAGAACACCAAUGGCGAAAGCAGCUCUCUGGGACGGUACUGACGCUGAAGACGCGAAAGCGUGGGAGGCGAACAGGAU